CUUCACCGAGCCCAGCCACAGCGGCCGCUCCUCGGUGUGUGCCUGGCCGUACGUGGCGAGCAGGGCCUGUGCCUC
Molecule: non-coding RNA, 75 nt
Organism: Streptomyces sp. CNQ-509
Lineage: Bacteria; Bacillati; Actinomycetota; Actinomycetes; Kitasatosporales; Streptomycetaceae
Rfam family: ASpks TB sRNA
Source: Rfam